AUGGCUCAUGGAACCCAGGUCCAACCAACCGUUUGGUGGAACAGAACCUUGGGUGAGGGGAUAUAUGGGUCUGUAUUACCCCAUCAACUUUUACCCCAAAAAGGCUUGGUUCUGAGGAAAUACAGGCUGCUGGGUGAAGAUACGAGUUGGACUGACUUCUCUACUGAGAUUUAUAAACCUCUCUUAGGAAGCAUUUAUAUGAAACACUUCAUAAUCCACCAGUUCCUCCAUUCACUAGAAUCAGAAAUAGCCAAAAGGCAGCCAAAGACAUUCCACACAUCUGCCACCAACAGGUGUAUGUGCAAUCUCCACAACAAAGAUCCGAGUGUUCUUAUUUGUAUUCCACAGUCCUAA
This 354-nucleotide long non-coding RNA is filed under the name Parus major (Great Tit). RNAcentral's name for it is "lncRNA (ENSPMJG00000008830.1)". The record is from RNAcentral. Lineage: Eukaryota; Metazoa; Chordata; Aves; Passeriformes; Paridae.